GCGGUUGUGGCGGAAUUGGCAGACGCGCUAGGUUUAGGGUCUAGUGGGGGAAACCCCGUGGGGGUUCAAGUCCUCUCGUCGGCAUCA
RNAcentral lists this transfer RNA (87 nucleotides) under Bacillus anthracis (anthrax bacterium). RNAcentral's name for it is "tRNA-Leu". It matches the Rfam family "tRNA". From Rfam's summary of the family: Transfer RNA (tRNA) molecules are approximately 80 nucleotides in length. Their secondary structure includes four short double-helical elements and three loops (D, anti-codon, and T loops). Lineage: Bacteria; Bacillati; Bacillota; Bacilli; Caryophanales; Bacillaceae. The record is from RNAcentral.